CCCUACGGGGCGCAGCAGGCGCGAAACCUCCUCAAUGCACUUACGUGCGAAGGGGCUACCUCGAGUGCCACCUGAUGAAGGUGGCUUUUCCUAGGUCUAAAAAGCCUUGGGAAUAAGAGGGGGGCAAGACUGAUGUCAGCCGCCGCGGUAACACCAGCCCCUCGAGUGGUGGGGAUGAUUAUUGGGCCUAAAGCGUCCGUAGCCUGCCGUAUAAGUUUCCCGUUAAAUCCAGCGUCUCAAGCGUUGGACUGCGGGAAAUACUGUACGGCUAGAGAGUGGGAGAGGUCAGCGGUAUUCUGGGGGUAGGGG
RNAcentral lists this ribosomal RNA (309 nucleotides) under uncultured archaeon. Its description in RNAcentral is "bacterial SSU rRNA". It matches the Rfam family "Archaeal small subunit ribosomal RNA", at positions 321 to 632 of the family's 1478-position model. The record is from RNAcentral.